GCGAACGUAGUUCAGUGGUAGAACAUCACCUUUCCAAGGGGAGGGUGGCGGUUUCGAACCCAGUCGUUCGCU
RNAcentral lists this transfer RNA (72 nucleotides) under Streptococcus agalactiae. Its description in RNAcentral is "tRNA-Gly". It matches the Rfam family "tRNA". Rfam says of the family: Transfer RNA (tRNA) molecules are approximately 80 nucleotides in length. Their secondary structure includes four short double-helical elements and three loops (D, anti-codon, and T loops). The record is from RNAcentral. Lineage: Bacteria; Bacillati; Bacillota; Bacilli; Lactobacillales; Streptococcaceae.